This 433-nucleotide ribosomal RNA is filed under the name uncultured bacterium. Its description in RNAcentral is "partial 16S ribosomal RNA". It matches the Rfam family "Bacterial small subunit ribosomal RNA", at positions 29 to 507 of the family's 1533-position model. The record is from RNAcentral.
AACGAACGCUGGCGGCAUGCCUAACACAUGCAAGUCGAACGAGACCUUCGGGUCUAGUGGCGCACGGGUGCGUAACGCGUGGGAAUCUGCCCUUGGGUUAGGAAUAACAGUUGGAAACGACUGCUAAUACAGGAUGAUGACGUAAGUCCAAAGACUUAUCGCCCAAGGAUGGGCCCGGGUAGGAUUAGCUAGUUGGUGAGGUAAAGGCGCACCAAGGCGACGAUGCUUAGCUGGUCUGAUAGGAUGAUCAGCUACACUUGGACUGCGACACGGCCCCGUCUGCUACGCGACGGUGCAGUAUGUUACACUGUGCACUGGAGGAAAGCGUGAUACAGCCGUGCCGCGUAUGUGAUGAAUGCCUUUGUGUUGUAAAGCUCUUUGUCCCGGAAUGUGAAUGACGGUACCGGGUGAAUAAGCACCGGCUAACUACGUG